Molecule: ribosomal RNA, 481 nt
Filed under: uncultured Allobrachymonas sp.
Lineage: Bacteria; Pseudomonadati; Pseudomonadota; Betaproteobacteria; Burkholderiales; Comamonadaceae
Description: bacterial SSU rRNA
Rfam family: Bacterial small subunit ribosomal RNA
Source: RNAcentral
GAAACUACAAAUGAAUUGACGGGACCCGCACAAGCGGUGGAUGAUGUGGUUUAAUUCGAUGCAACGCGAAAACCUUACCCACCUUUGACAUGGCAGGAAUCCUAAAGAGAUUUGGGAGUGCUCGAAAGAGAACCUGCACACAGGUGCUGCAUGGCUGUCGUCAGCUCGUGUCGUGAGAUGUUGGGUUAAGUCCCGCAACGAGCGCAACCCUUGCCAUUAGUUGCUACGAAAGGGCACUCUAAUGGGACUGCCGGUGACAAACCGGAGGAAGGUGGGGAUGACGUCAAGUCCUCAUGGCCCUUAUAGGUGGGGCUACACACGUCAUACAAUGGCCGGUACAGAGGGUAGCCAACCCGCGAGGGGGAGCCAAUCCCACAAAGCCGGUCGUAGUCCGGAUCGCAGUCUGCAACUCGACUGCGUGAAGUCGGAAUCGCUAGUAAUCGCGGAUCAGCAUGUCGCGGUGAAUACGUUCCCGGGUCUU